RNAcentral lists this ribosomal RNA (253 nucleotides) under uncultured bacterium. RNAcentral's name for it is "partial 16S ribosomal RNA". It matches the Rfam family "Bacterial small subunit ribosomal RNA", at positions 524 to 776 of the family's 1533-position model. The record is from RNAcentral.
UACGAAGGGGGCUAGCGUUGCUCGGAAUCACUGGGCGUAAAGGGCGCGUAGGCGGAUCUUUAAGUCGGGGGUGAAAGCCCAGGGCUCAACCCUGGAAUUGCCUUCGAUACUGAAGAUCUCGAGACCGGAAGAGGUAAGUGGAACUGCGAGUGUAGAGGUGAAAUUCGUAGAUAUUCGCAAGAACACCAGUGGCGAAGGCGGCUUACUGGUCCGGUUCUGACGCUGAGGUGCGAAAGCGUGGGGAGCAAACAGG